AUUGAACGCUGGCGGCAGGCCUAACACAUGCAAGUCGAGCGGAUGAAGGGAGCUUGCUCCUGGAUUCAGCGGCGGACGGGUGAGUAAUGCCUAGGAAUCUGCCUGGUAGUGGGGGAUAACGUCCGGAAACGGGCGCUAAUACCGCAUACGUCCUGAGGGAGAAAGUGGGGGAUCUUCGGACCUCACGCUAUCAGAUGAGCCUAGGUCGGAUUAGCUAGUUGGUGGGGUAAAGGCCUACCAAGGCGACGAUCCGUAACUGGUCUGAGAGGAUGAUCAGUCACAGUGGAACUGAGACACGGUCCAGACUCCUACGGGAGGCAGCAGUGGGGAAUAUUGGACAAUGGGCGAAAGCCUGAUCCAGCCAUGCCGCGUGGGUGAAGAAGGUCUUCGGAUUGUAAAGCACUUUAAGUGGGGAGGAAGGGCAGUAAGUUAAUACCUUGCUGUUUUGACGUUACCAACAGAAUAAGCACCGGCUAACUUCGU
RNAcentral lists this ribosomal RNA (483 nucleotides) under uncultured bacterium. Its description in RNAcentral is "partial 16S ribosomal RNA". It matches the Rfam family "Bacterial small subunit ribosomal RNA", at positions 30 to 506 of the family's 1533-position model. The record is from RNAcentral.